RNAcentral lists this unclassified non-coding RNA (337 nucleotides) under soil metagenome. Its description in RNAcentral is "partial contains 5.8S ribosomal RNA, internal transcribed spacer 2, and large subunit ribosomal RNA". The stretch from base 1 to 120 matches the Rfam family "5.8S ribosomal RNA", at positions 35 to 154 of the family's 154-position model. The record is from RNAcentral.
GAUGAAGAACGUAGCGAAAUGCGAUAAGUAAUGCGAAUUGCAGAUUUCAGUGAGUCAUCGAAUCUUUGAACGCACAUUGCGCCCGCCAGUAUUCUGGCGGGCAUGCCUGUUCGAGCGUCAUUUCAACCAUCAAGCCCCCGGGCUUGCGUUGGGGCCCUGCGGCUGCCGCAGGCCCCGAAAAGCAGUGGCGGGCUCGCUGUCACACCGAGCGCAGUAGCGAUUCUCGCUCCGGGCGUCGGCGGCGGGCACCGGCCGUGAAACCCCCCCACAACCACAAGGUUGACCUCGGAUCAGGUAGGAAUACCCGCUGAACUUAAGCAUAUCAAUAAGCUGAGGA